This is a long non-coding RNA of Lolium rigidum, 395 nucleotides long. RefSeq lists it as uncharacterized. The record is from RefSeq and is a predicted model, not a curated record. Lineage: Eukaryota; Viridiplantae; Streptophyta; Magnoliopsida; Poales; Poaceae. The transcript has 2 exons.
CGUGCUACAGGUCUCCUACGGCGCAGUUCCAUUCAGCGACAAACCCAAUAAACUUACUGAAGGUUUACCCACACCUCAACUUCAUUCAGGAGUAAUUCAAUAGUUUGGAGCGUGAGAGACCACCAAAAAGUUCAGAGGAAAAAACACUGAAAACAUCUAUUGUAUGCCCAUUGAGAGAUCAACAUGUCUUCUUCUAUAGAACAAAUUUCAGUUUCUGUUGCUUUCAUAGGGGUUUGUACUAGACCAGGCUAUUUGCUGGGCAUAGAUGAAUCUAUCUUGAAGUAUUUGUGUCUCCAUUCAUUUAAUUUCUGAAAUAGAACAUCAGUUUCUAGAUGGCACCCGGAUGAUGAUGUCUCCAUUCAUAGUGCUUUCUUUCUUUCGUUAGCAAAUUCUAU